Molecule: long non-coding RNA, 274 nt
Organism: Ornithorhynchus anatinus (platypus)
Lineage: Eukaryota; Metazoa; Chordata; Mammalia; Monotremata; Ornithorhynchidae
Exons: 2
Source: RefSeq, a predicted model, not a curated record
GUCUAAUCGGGGGACAAAAAACGAGACAACUUAAUCACGAUGCCAGCUCAACGGGACCGUCCACAGAUGACCUGCUACCCGAGAUGUGCGAUCCAUCCUAGAGCGCGUCCCGAAACCUUAGCCUCCGGUUGCUCGGAACCAACCGUGCAUCCGUCCAUCCGUUAUUGUCGAACGCCCGUAACUAUGAUUUGCCACUAAUUUUCCAAACCUUCUUCCAUAUGCGGCGAAUAAAUCUCUCCCCUCCCCCCCGUCGGGGCGAUGGAGUUAGUGAAAA